This is a long non-coding RNA of Cebus imitator (Panamanian white-faced capuchin), 456 nucleotides long. RefSeq lists it as uncharacterized. The transcript is spliced from 2 exons. The record is from RefSeq and is a predicted model, not a curated record. Lineage: Eukaryota; Metazoa; Chordata; Mammalia; Primates; Cebidae.
GCGGGGCGGGGCGGGGCGCGUCGCUGGGACGCGAGAAAGGCUCGCUCGGUUGCUAAGGCGUCAAGGCUGGGAUUCGACCUCACCCCUUUAGAUGGGCAGCUUCCAGGUUGCCCAGGUGAUUAGGGCGCUGGAGGCAGCGAGUUCAUGACCAUCUUUUCUUCCUAUUGGCCUUGCCAGCUUUAAGCCCUACACCAGGCAUAGAGGCCAACACCAGACAGAGAUGACUUAACCAACUCUUAAAACUAUGUAAGGGCCCCAUGCUCAUAAUAAAUUUUAUAUUUUCUAUCACUCUUACAGGUUCUGCUUCUCUGAUUGAACCUGAAUGAUACAAAACUGGUAGUUAAAACUGAAGUAUUUCAAUUUAAAGUAUUGUCUUUAUGUUUUACUUAGACUUGAAUCCACAUAAAUUAUGUGUUUGUACAACUGCAGCUGUAUUGUAAAGAUUUGUUACCUUUA